RNAcentral lists this ribosomal RNA (347 nucleotides) under Corynebacterium sp. HMSC072B08. RNAcentral describes it as "bacterial LSU rRNA". It matches the Rfam family "Bacterial large subunit ribosomal RNA", at positions 1 to 328 of the family's 2925-position model. Lineage: Bacteria; Bacillati; Actinomycetota; Actinomycetes; Mycobacteriales; Corynebacteriaceae. The record is from RNAcentral.
GUGUUGUGUUGUAAGGGCGCAUGGUGGAUGCCUUGGCAUAGUAGGCCGAUGAAGGACGUGAGAGGCUGCGAUAGGCCUCGGGGAGCUGCCAACUAAGCGUUGAUCCGAGGGUGUCCGAAUGGGGAAACCUGGCCGUCGUUGUGGGCGGUCGCCGUUAGAUGAAUUCAUAGUCUAAUUGGUGGUUACGCGGGGAAGUGAAACAUCUCAGUACCCGUAGGAGUAGAAAACAAUUGUGAUUCCGUUAGUAGUGGCGAACGAACGUGGAUGAGGCUAAACCGCGUGCGUGUGAUACCUGGCAGGGUUUGCGUGCGUGGGGUUGUGGGGAUGCAUUGUGCAGGGUCUGCUAG